CGAGCACGCGCGUGUGGCAUAUCAAUAAGCGGAGGAAAAGAAACUAACAAGGAUUCCCUUAGUAACGGCGAGUGUAGCGGGAAGAGCUCAAAUUUGAAAUCUUCAAGGUUCUACCUUGACGAAUUGUAGUUUAUAGAAGUGUUUUCUGUUAGUGGAGUGGCAAAAGUUCUUUGGAAUAGGACAUCAUAGAGGGUGAGAAUCCCGUAUUUGGUCAUUCCUCCUAGCGUUGUGAUACACUUUCAACGAGUCGGAUUGUUUGGGAAUGCAGUCCAAAAUGGGUGGUAAAUUCCAUCUAAAGCUAAAUAUUGGCGAGAGACCGAUAGCGAACAAGUACCGUGAGGGAAAGAUGAAAAGAACUUUGAAAAGAGAGUUAAACAGUACGUGAAAUUGUCAAAAGGGAAGCGUUUGACACCAGUGUUGUUUUUCCGAAAAUCAAUUACGAAUGUUUUGUUUUUGAGGAGUUAUGACUUCAUCGGCUUGCUCCUUUCUUUAUGAAACUUUCUUAAUGCACUUUUCGGUUAACAAGUCAACAUCAAUUUCUUUUGUUGUAAAAGGGUAUGAGGAAGGUGGCUUUCUUUUCGGAGAAAGUGUUUAUAGCCUUGUACCUCUGCAAUCGGAGAGAUUGAGGUCUGCAGCGUAGAUCCUUCGGGGUUAAAUACGUUUGUGCUAAGUUAUAGCUUUUCAUAGACAACUUGUUGACUAUGUUUAGUCUUGUAGCUUACUCGCUGAUGCUAUUUUACCUACGCUUAGGAUGUUGAUGUGAUACUGCGAGCA
RNAcentral lists this ribosomal RNA (774 nucleotides) under uncultured Neocallimastigales. Its description in RNAcentral is "partial large subunit ribosomal RNA". It matches the Rfam family "Eukaryotic large subunit ribosomal RNA", at positions 19 to 646 of the family's 3401-position model. Lineage: Eukaryota; Fungi; Neocallimastigomycota; Neocallimastigomycetes; Neocallimastigales. The record is from RNAcentral.